UCCCUCUUAGCUCAGUUGGUAGAGCGCGUCACUAGUAAUGACGAGGUCAGUCGUUCGAGUCGGCUAGAGGGAA
Molecule: non-coding RNA, 73 nt
Organism: Hydnum rufescens UP504
Lineage: Eukaryota; Fungi; Basidiomycota; Agaricomycetes; Cantharellales; Hydnaceae
Source: the annotation of a GenBank genome assembly